UCCCUCUAAACACAUGCCUCCCUCAAAAGGAAAAUCUAAGUCUGUAGUAGUGUCAUUCAUGUCAUUGAUGUCUGGGGACCCAUAAUAAGUACCAAAGAAUAUACAAAAGAAUGUAUAAAUUUAUGAAUAAUUAUUUGUACAAUAUGAUUAUGAAUGAAUGAAUGAUGGUUUGGAAGAAAAUCCAAAAGAAUGAAAGAAUAUAGAAUUAUUCGUAAAGAAUGAAAAUAUUGGCUCAAAAAUAAUCGCAAAGAUGU
RNAcentral lists this long non-coding RNA (254 nucleotides) under Gossypium barbadense (sea-island cotton). RNAcentral's name for it is "long non-coding RNA (GBAR_LNC014914)". The record is from RNAcentral. Lineage: Eukaryota; Viridiplantae; Streptophyta; Magnoliopsida; Malvales; Malvaceae.